GACGAACGCUGGCGGCGUGCUUAACACAUGCAAGUCGAACGAGAAGAGAUGAGAAGCUUGCUUCUUAUUGAUUCGAGUGGCAAACGGGUGAGUAACGCGUAAGCAACCUGCCCUUCAGAUGGGGACAACAGCUGGAAACGGCUGCUAAUACCGAAUACGUUCUUUUGUCGCAUGGCAGAGGGAAGAAAGGGAGGCUCUUCGGAGCUUUCGCUGAAGGAGGGGCUUGCGUCUGAUUAGCUAGUUGNGGGUAAGGCCACCAAGGCGACGAUCAGUAGCCGGUCUGAGAGGAUGAACGGCCACAUUGGGACUGAGACACGGCCCAGACUCCUACGGGAGGCAGCAGUGGGAAUCUUCCGCAAUGGACGAAAGUCUGACGGAGCAA
RNAcentral lists this ribosomal RNA (382 nucleotides) under uncultured bacterium. Its description in RNAcentral is "bacterial SSU rRNA". It matches the Rfam family "Bacterial small subunit ribosomal RNA", at positions 28 to 394 of the family's 1533-position model. The record is from RNAcentral.